This 453-nucleotide ribosomal RNA is filed under the name uncultured Porphyromonadaceae bacterium. RNAcentral describes it as "partial 16S ribosomal RNA". It matches the Rfam family "Bacterial small subunit ribosomal RNA", at positions 341 to 792 of the family's 1533-position model. The record is from RNAcentral. Lineage: Bacteria; Pseudomonadati; Bacteroidota; Bacteroidia; Bacteroidales; Porphyromonadaceae.
ACGGGAGGCAGCAGUGAGGAAUAUUGGUCAAUGGGCGGAGGCCUGAACCAGCCAAGUCGCGUGAAGGAUGAAGGUAUUAUGUAUUGUAAACUUCUUUAGACGCAGAGAAAUAAGAGGGUCGUGACCCUUGAUGCUAGUAUGCGUAGAAUAAGGAUCGGCUAACUCCGUGCCAGCAGCCGCGGUAAUACGGAGGAUCCGAGCGUUAUCCGGAUUUAUUGGGUUUAAAGGGUGCGCAGGCGGUCUUUUAAGUCAGUGGUCAAAGCGUGGAGCUUAACUCCAUCCCGCCAUUGAUACUGGAGGACUUGAUUGCGGUCGAGGUUGGCGGAAUUCGCCGUGUAGCGGCGAAAUGCAUAGAUAUGGCGAAGAACUCCGAUUGCGUAGGCAGCUGACCAGGCCGUAAAUGACGCUCGUGCACGAAAGUGCGGGGAUCGAACAGGAUUAGAUACCCUGGUA